CUUAUUUGUAUAGUAGCAAACCAAAUGAUAUUGUGAGCAGAUUGGUUGCUCAUCUCUCAAACUAAUUGGAAUAUGACAUUUUGACCAUUGGUUUACCAGUUUCCAACUGAUGUUACUUGCUAACAGACCACAGGUUGACUGGCAUAGGAACAAAGCACAAAUUCCAAAUGCAAUUUUAAAACAGGAGUGUACACUCUUUGGAUUUCAGAAAAAUAUAACGUUGGCCUCCUACAUGGCAAAGAAAAGAAACUGGAACCCCUGAUGUGAACAUUUCACCGUGAUGGGAAUACUGAUAGGGAAAUCUCAACAAAAUGGAAGCGUGAGAUGGAAACUUCCUACAACAAAACCAGAGGCGGAGGAGAUGUUGUUGGGCCCUCUGCUGGAACUGGCCAGGCAUCCUGUAUUCAAGAUGGUUCCACCCCUCAGAGGCAGCUUCUACGUCAAGGGAACUGGGCAGACAUCUGCCCCAGGGAGUCGGGCAGAGUUCUGGAUCUGACCUUGAUGGUGACCUUGGAGGCUGCAAUGCACAUGUUGGGGGAGGUGGAUCCUGAGCUGGCCUGAGGGUGAGCUCCUCCCUUGCUUCCUGUCCUGGAUCACAAGGCCCUCCAGCUUGCUACCCUGCCUUGGAGCUGGCCUGCCAUGGACUGAAACAAUUGACAACAUUCAC
This 667-nucleotide long non-coding RNA is filed under the name Cavia porcellus (domestic guinea pig). Its description in RNAcentral is "lncRNA (ENSCPOG00000031659.1)". The record is from RNAcentral. Lineage: Eukaryota; Metazoa; Chordata; Mammalia; Rodentia; Caviidae.